UUAAAUAUUCUAAUAAGAUUAUUAUAUUCUUAACUAUACGUUCUAUAAAGAAAAAAAGUAAGGGUUUUAUUCAUGCUCCGUAAGCAAGCAACGUUAUUAUUUUAUACAUGCAAGGGUAAUAUAACCCACACGGGUGAGUAAAUGUGAAUAUAUAGUAAAAUUUAAAGAAUAAGAA
RNAcentral lists this ribosomal RNA (175 nucleotides) under Haematococcus lacustris. RNAcentral's name for it is "small subunit ribosomal RNA". The record is from RNAcentral. Lineage: Eukaryota; Viridiplantae; Chlorophyta; Chlorophyceae; Chlamydomonadales; Haematococcaceae.